RNAcentral lists this ribosomal RNA (1377 nucleotides) under Triticum aestivum (bread wheat). Its description in RNAcentral is "partial small subunit ribosomal RNA". Lineage: Eukaryota; Viridiplantae; Streptophyta; Magnoliopsida; Poales; Poaceae. The record is from RNAcentral.
AUGGAGCUCCUCGUAAUCCCCGUCCUGCUGGCGGCCAUGGCCAUUGCCUUGACCUAUCUGGCCUGGACGGCCGCCUCCCGUCGCCGGUGUUCACAGUGCUACCUCCUCGAUUACGUCUGCUACAAACCACCAGACGACCGCAAGGUGACGACGGAUAUGGGGGUCGCACUGGCCGAGCGUAACAAGCGGCUCGGCGCCUCUGAGUUACGCUACCUCUUCCGCCUAACGUCUCGCGCCGGUCUGGGUGAGCAGACCUACCUCCCCUUUGGUCUCUUGGCCGGCCGCGAGAAGUGCCUCACCCAUCAGGACGCGCUCGACGAGAUGGACGCCUUCAUCAUCGACGCCGUCGCCGGUCUCUUCGCCAAUACCCGAUUCGGCCCCCGUGACGUGGACGUGCUCGUGGUCAACGUCAACAUGUUCAACCCGGAGCCUUGCCUUGCCUCGCGGAUCGGGCACCACUACGGAAUGCGCGAGGACGUUGCCGCGUACAAUGUCUCCGGCAUGGGCUGCAGCGCCACGCUCGUCUCUUUGGAUAUCGUCCAGAACGUCAUGCGGGCACGGUCGCCGCGCCCCGUGCUUGCGCUGGUGCUGUCGACGGAGGUGCUCUCGCCUGGAAACUACCAGGGCACGGACAGGUCCAUGAUGCUGGGACUAUGCCUUUUCCGCUGCGGCGGGGCAGCGGCGCUGCUCACCAGCGACCCCGCGCUGGGUGGACGCGCGAAGAUGAAGCUACGUCGCCUCGUGCGUGCCAACGUGGCCGCCAACGACGAUGCGUACUCCGCCAUCUUUCAGCGCGAGGACGCAGACAACAUAACCGGGUUCAGCAUCAACAAGACCCUCCCAAAGGCUGCCGUCCGAGCGUUCGCCGCCAACCUGAAACGCCUCGUCCCUUACGUCCUCCCUGCUAGGGAGCUCCUCCGGCUUGCCGCCAGCUUUACGUGGCAGAAAAUGCAGCGCCGCCAGCGAGUGAAGAUCAAUGUCAACUUAAAGACCGGGGUCGACCAUUUCUGCCUCCACUCAGGCGGGGUUGCGGUCAUCGACGCCGUGAAGAAGAACUUCGGGCUCAAGGAGACAGACGUGGAGCCAUCGAGGAUGACGCUGCACCGCUGGGGAAACACGUCGACCAGCAGCGUCUGGUACGUGCUUGCGUACAUGGAGGCCAAGGGGAGGCUCAAGAGAGGAGACAGGAUGCUCAUGGUGACCUUCGGGUCGGGCUUCAAGUGCAACACUUGCAUGUGGGAUGUGAAUCGCAAUCUGGCGGACAAGGGUGCGUGGGCCGACUCCAUUGACAAAUACCCAAUGGAGAGCACAGCCAACACGUCCCUGGACAAAUACAGCUGGAUUAACGACACUGAUGACGACUCCAUGCUGUUCUAA